AAAGCGGCGCACGGGUGAGUUAACACGUAGGUCAUCUCCCUCGAGUGGUGGAUAACCCUCCGAAAGGAGGACUAAUACAGCAUAAGACCACGGCCCCCCUGGGGUUGCGGUCAAAGCAGGCCACUACAUGUAAGCUUGCGCUUGAGGAUGAGUCUGCGGCCCAUCAGCUAGUUGGUAAGGUAACGGCUUACCAAGGCUAAGACGGGUAGCUGGUCUGAGAGGAUGAGCAGCCACACUGGAACUGAAACACGGUCCAGACUCCUACGGGAGGCAGCAGUAGGGAAUCUUGCGCAAUGGACGAAAGUCUGACGCAGCGACGCCGCGUGAGCGAUGAAGGCCUUCGGGUCGUAAAGCUCUGUGGGGAGAGACGAAUAAGGUAUGGCUAACAUCCAUGCCGAUGACGGUAUCUCCUUAGCAAGCACCGGCUAACUCUGUGCCAGCAGCCGCGGUAA
RNAcentral lists this ribosomal RNA (452 nucleotides) under uncultured delta proteobacterium. RNAcentral's name for it is "bacterial SSU rRNA". It matches the Rfam family "Bacterial small subunit ribosomal RNA", at positions 92 to 523 of the family's 1533-position model. The record is from RNAcentral. Lineage: Bacteria; Deltaproteobacteria.